Molecule: RNase P RNA, 335 nt
Filed under: uncultured Agathobacter sp.
Lineage: Bacteria; Bacillati; Bacillota; Clostridia; Lachnospirales; Lachnospiraceae
Description: Bacterial RNase P class A
Rfam family: Bacterial RNase P class A
About the family: Ribonuclease P (RNase P) is a ubiquitous endoribonuclease, found in archaea, bacteria and eukarya as well as chloroplasts and mitochondria. Its best characterised activity is the generation of mature 5'-ends of tRNAs by cleaving the 5'-leader elements of precursor-tRNAs.
Source: RNAcentral
GGACAGGUGAUCGCGGCUGCAAGUGUCGAAAGACCGCAGGUGAGGAAAGUCCGGGCUUCACAGGGCAGGAUGCCGGUUAACGGCCGGUGGAGGAAACUCUAAGGAAAGUGCAACAGAAAUAUACCGCUAUAUUUAUAUAGUAAGGGUGGAAUGGCAGUGUAAGAGACUACCGCCUCGCUGGUAACAGAGAGGGCACAUGUAAACCCCAUUCGAAGCAAGACCGAAACAAAGCGAUGACGUGGCCCGCCAGCUUUAGGUAGGUCGCUUGAGGCGAUUGGCGACAGUCGUCCUAGAUAGAUGAUCACCCAACGACAUAACCCGGCUUAUCGUUCUGC